This 292-nucleotide ribosomal RNA is filed under the name uncultured bacterium. RNAcentral describes it as "partial 16S ribosomal RNA". It matches the Rfam family "Bacterial small subunit ribosomal RNA", at positions 505 to 796 of the family's 1533-position model. The record is from RNAcentral.
GUGCCAGCAGCCGCGGUAAUACGGGGGGGGCGAGCGUUGUUCGGAAUUACUGGGCGUAAAGGGUUUGUAGGUGGCCUGCUAAGUCAGACGUGAAAUCCCUCAGCUUAACUGGGGAACUGCGUCUGAUACUGGUGGGCUUGAGGACAGGAGAGGAACGCGGAAUUCCAGGUGUAGCGGUGAAAUGCGUAGAUAUCUGGAGGAACACCGGUGGCGAAGGCGGCGUUCUGGACUGUUUCUGACACUGAAAAACGAAAGCCAGGGGAGCAAACGGGAUUAGAAACCCGCGUAGUCC